Molecule: transfer RNA, 67 nt
Filed under: Diploptera punctata (Pacific beetle cockroach)
Lineage: Eukaryota; Metazoa; Arthropoda; Insecta; Blattodea; Blaberidae
Description: tRNA-Trp
Source: RNAcentral
AAGAUUUUAAGUUAAAUUAAACUAAUAACCUUCAAAGUUAUAAAUAGAGAAGCUUCUUUAAGUCUUA